AAAACGGUUUUACUAAAAACUAUACAAUUUUAUUGAAAAUUAAG
Non-coding RNA from Stegodyphus mimosarum, 44 nucleotides. The record is from Rfam. NCBI's taxonomy places the organism in Eukaryota, Metazoa, Arthropoda, Arachnida, Araneae, Eresidae.